AGUCGAACGAGAAUCUGAUGAAGGAGUUUUCGGACAACUGAUUCAGAGGAAAGUGGCGGACGGGUGAGUAACGCGUGAGGAACCUGCCUUGAAGAGGGGGACAACAGUUGGAAACGACUGCUAAUACCGCAUGACGCAUAGGGAUCGCAUGAUCUUUAUGCCAAAGAUUUAUCGCUCCAAGAUGGCCUCGCGUCUGAUUAGCUAGUUGGCGGGGUAACGGCCCACCAAGGCGACGAUCAGUAGCCGGACUGAGAGGUUGAACGGCCACAUUGGGACUGAGAUACGGCCCAGACUCCUACGGGAGGCAGCAGUGGGGAAUAUUGGGCAAUGGGCGCAAGCCUGACCCAGCAACGCCGCGUGAAGGAAGAAGGCUUUCGGGUUGUAAACUUCUUUUAAGAGGGAAGAGCAGAAGACGGUACCUCUAGAAUAAGCCACGGCUAACUACGUGCCAGCAGCCGCGGUAAUACGUAGGUGGCAAGCGUUGUCCGGAUUUACUGGGUGUAAAGGGCGUGCAGCCGGGUCUGCAAGUCAGAUGUGAAAUCCAUGGGCUCAACCCAUGAACUGCAUUUGAAACUGUAGAUCUUGAGUGUCGGAGGGGCAAUCGGAAUUCCUAGUGUAGCGGUGAAAUGCGUAGAUAUUAGGAGGAACACCAGUGGCGAAGGCGGAUUGCUGGACGAUAACUGACGGUGAGGCGCGAAAGUGUGGGGAGCAAACAGGAUUAGAUACCCUGGUAGUCCCCACUGUAAACGAUGAAUACUAGGUGUGCGGGGACUGACCCC
Molecule: ribosomal RNA, 779 nt
Filed under: uncultured bacterium
Lineage: Bacteria
Description: bacterial SSU rRNA
Rfam family: Bacterial small subunit ribosomal RNA
Source: RNAcentral